UACGAAGGGGGCUAGCGUUGCUCGGAAUCACUGGGCGUAAAGCGCACGUAGGCGGCUUUUUAAGUCAGGGGUGAAAUCCUGGAGCUCAACUCCAGAACUGCCUUUGAUACUGGGAAGCUUGAGUUCGGGAGAGGUGAGUGGAACUGCGAGUGUAGAGGUGAAAUUCGUAGAUAUUCGCAAGAACACCAGUGGCGAAGGCGGCUCACUGGCCCGAUACUGACGCUGAGGUGCGAAAGCGUGGGGAGUAAACAGG
RNAcentral lists this ribosomal RNA (253 nucleotides) under uncultured bacterium. Its description in RNAcentral is "partial 16S ribosomal RNA". It matches the Rfam family "Bacterial small subunit ribosomal RNA", at positions 524 to 776 of the family's 1533-position model. The record is from RNAcentral.